AAGCUAUUUCAUAAUCUCCCAACUGAAAUUGCAAAUUAAGAAAUGAGGAACAACGGUACACAAUCAACAUACAUUGCUGAACAUCAUAAGUGUUCAUGCACUCAAGAUGAUACUUUUUUAAAGAGCAUGUUACUCAUCAGCUUCUCAGAAAGUUGUACCUUUAUAUCAUCAAAUGGGAAGAAAAUUAAUCCAGAUCUCUCUUAAAAUUAUGGACUCACAAGGAAAUCAAUGUUCUCUGGCAGAAUACCUUGUAAGCACACAAAUCAGAGGUAACAUCAAUAUUCUCUUCAAUUUGGGGAGCAUAAACUUGAGGGCAGACAUGUUUUAAGCAGUGUUGU
RNAcentral lists this unclassified non-coding RNA (338 nucleotides) under Hevea brasiliensis (rubber tree). Lineage: Eukaryota; Viridiplantae; Streptophyta; Magnoliopsida; Malpighiales; Euphorbiaceae. The record is from RNAcentral.